CAGAGAAUAGUUUAAUUAAAACUUUAGUUUUGGAGACUAAGAAUGGGGAUUAUCCUUUUCUCUGA
RNAcentral lists this transfer RNA (65 nucleotides) under Sinoxylon sp. SIN01. Its description in RNAcentral is "tRNA-Pro". The record is from RNAcentral. Lineage: Eukaryota; Metazoa; Arthropoda; Insecta; Coleoptera; Bostrichidae.